GGACUACUGGGGUUUCUAAUCCUGUUUGCUCCCCACGCUUUCGCGCCUCAGCGUCAGUAUUGGGCCAGUGUGUCGCCUUCGCCACUGGUGUUCUUCCGAAUAUCUACGAAUUUCACCUCUACACUCGGAGUUCCACACACCUCUCCCAAACUCUAGGUCGUCAGUUUUGAAGGCAAUUCCGAGGUUGAGCCCCGGGCUUUCACCCCCAACUUGACGACCCGCCUACGCGCCCUUUACGCCCAGUAAUUCCGAGCAACGCUAGCCCCCUUCGUAUUACCGCGGCUGCUGGCAC
RNAcentral lists this ribosomal RNA (292 nucleotides) under uncultured bacterium. RNAcentral's name for it is "partial 16S ribosomal RNA". RNAcentral also lists the same sequence under 1 other name. The record is from RNAcentral.